RNAcentral lists this ribosomal RNA (468 nucleotides) under uncultured bacterium. Its description in RNAcentral is "partial 16S ribosomal RNA". It matches the Rfam family "Bacterial small subunit ribosomal RNA", at positions 28 to 507 of the family's 1533-position model. The record is from RNAcentral.
GACGAACGCUGGCGGCGUGCUUAACACAUGCAAGUCGAACGGAAAGGCCCUGCUUUUGUGGGGUGCUCGAGUGGCGAACGGGUGAGUAACACGUGAGUAACCUGCCCUUGACUUUGGGAUAACUUCAGGAAACUGGGGCUAAUACCGGAUAGGAGCUCCUGCUGCAUGGUGGGGGUUGGAAAGUUUCGGCGGUUGGGGAUGGACUCGCGGCUUAUCAGCUUGCUGGUGGGGUAGUGGCUUACCAAGGCUUUGACGGGUAGCCGGCCUGAGAGGGUGACCGGCCACAUUGGGACUGAGAUACGGCCCAGACGCCUACGGGAGGCAGCAGUGGGGAAUAUUGCACAAUGGGCGGAAGCCUGAUGCAGCAACGCCGCGUGCGGGAUGACGGCCUUCGGGUUGUAAACCGCUUUCGCCUGUGACGAAGCGUGAGUGACGGUAAUGGGUAAAGAAGCACCGGCUAACUACGUG